RNAcentral lists this unclassified non-coding RNA (1465 nucleotides) under uncultured fungus. RNAcentral's name for it is "sequence contains 18S rRNA gene, ITS1, 5.8S rRNA gene, ITS2, 28S rRNA gene". The stretch from base 494 to 1465 matches the Rfam family "Eukaryotic large subunit ribosomal RNA", at positions 1 to 961 of the family's 3401-position model. The record is from RNAcentral. Lineage: Eukaryota; Fungi.
GGAAGGAUCAUUAACACUAAUCCAAUCAUUUAAACCGAGCCUUAAGUUGUUGCAUCAGUGCAAGCUAGCGAAAGCGGGCAUGUUACUCUUGCAGCAUCUAUCAUAACUAAUCUAAAGGAGCAUAACUAAGCUCUUACACUAAAACCAAAUUCUCAACGAUGGAUAUCUUGGUUCCCAUAACGAUGAAGAACGCAGCGAAGUGCGAUAAGCAGUGCGAAUUGCAGAACCGUGAGUCAUCAGAUUUUUGAACGCAACUGGCGCCGGUUGGCUCUCCAGCCGGCAUGCUUGUUUCAGUGUCUUGUUUUCUCUUCACCCAAAUCUUAAUGCUUGAGAUACCCUUCUCUUGCUAAGUACGAAAGCACUCUGUUCCCUGCAAGCAGCCUAGAUUCGUCUAGGGUUGCACUCAAUGCAGCAGUCACAAUUCAUUGUGAACUCAUUGAGAGUAGAGGCAGCGCAGCUAGUCUGCAAGUGCUUAGAGAAUCAAACUUUACUUGUAUCUGAAAUCAAGCAGGAUCACCCGCUGAACUUAAGCAUAUCACUAAGCGGAGGAAAAGAAAUUAACUAAGAUUGCCCCAGUAACGGCGAGUGAAGCGGCAAAAGCCCAAAUUGGAAAUCUUCACGCUGCGCGUGACGAAUUGUAAUCUACAGGUGGGACACUCAACUAGUGGUGACGCAGAAGUGCUCUAGAAUGGGCCGCCAGAGAGGGUGACAGCCCCGUAUGUGGUGUCACCGCUAAACGAGUGCCUUUCGAAGAGUCGGGUUGUUUUGAAUUGCAGCCCUAAGUGGGGGAUAGACUUCCUCUAAGGCUAAAUAUAUAUGGGAAACCGAUAGCGAACAAGUACUGUGAAGGAAAGAUGAAAAGAACUUUGGAAAGAGAGUCAAAAGACUUGAAAUCGUUGAGAAGGAAGCGGUAGAAAUUUAUUCUUCGGCUGAGGACGAUGUCUGUUGCCUAACCAUUAGGUUGAUGCAGCACUUAAUAAGGCUGUUUGGCUUACCUGGGGAAGCGAUGGGUGGGUCCUCUGUCGUGAGGCAAAAUGAGGUUCCACUCCCACAAAAGCUUGGCAAACCUGGGCUGGUUCGCUAGUCAGUUUGCCUUUGCUGGUGGGCGUGUUGCCUGAGGAAGCUUUGUGCGAUUUUGCCAAAAUGGUUUUUACCGACCCGUCUUGAAACACGGACCAAGGAGUCUAACAAAUAUGCGAGUGUGCUGGUGGAAAAACCAACACGCACAACGAAAGUGAUUGAUGCCAAGCUUACGCAGCAGCAUCGACCGACCAUGAUCCUCUGGUGAAAGGUUUGAGUAUGAGCAUAUCUGUUAGGACCCGAAAGAUGGUGAACUAUGCCUGGGUAGGGUGAAGCCAGGGGAAACUCUGGUGGAGGCUCGUAGCGGUUCUGACGUGCAAAUCGAUCGUCAAACCUGGGUAUAGGGGCGAAAGACUAAUCGAACCAUCUAGUAGCUGGUUCCCUC